RNAcentral lists this ribosomal RNA (818 nucleotides) under uncultured bacterium. RNAcentral describes it as "bacterial SSU rRNA". It matches the Rfam family "Bacterial small subunit ribosomal RNA", at positions 8 to 808 of the family's 1533-position model. The record is from RNAcentral.
AGAGUUUGAUCCUGGCUCAGGACGAACGCUGGCGGCGUGCCUAAUACAUGCAAGUAGAACGCUGAAGCUUGGUGCUUGCACCGAGCGGAUGAGUUGCGAACGGGUGAGUAACGCGUAGGUAACCUGCCUGGUAGCGGGGGAUAACUAUUGGAAACGAUAGCUAAUACCGCAUAAGAGUAGAUGUUGCAUGACAUUUGCUUAAAAGGUGCAAUUGCAUCACUACCAGAUGGACCUGCGUUGUAUUAGCUAGUUGGUGAGGUAACGGCUCACCAAGGCAACGAUACAUAGCCGACCUGAGAGGGUGAUCGGCCACACUGGGACUGAGACACGGCCCAGACUCCUACGGGAGGCAGCAGUAGGGAAUCUUCGGCAAUGGACGGAAGUCUGACCGAGCAACGCCGCGUGAGUGAAGAAGGUUUUCGGAUCGUAAGGCUCUGUUGUAAGAGAAGAACGAGUGUGAGAGUGGAAAGUUCACACUGUGACGGUAUCUUACCAGAAAGGGACGGCUAACUACGUGCCAGCAGCCGCGGUAACACGUAGGUCCCGAGCGUUGUCCGGAUUUAUUGGGCGUAAAGCGAGCGCAGGCGGUUAGAUAAGUCUGAAGUUAAAGGCUGUGGCUUAACCAUAGUACGCUUUGGAAACUGUUUAACUUGAGUGCAAGAGGGGAGAGUGGAAUUCCAUGUGUAGCGGUGAAAUGCGUAGAUAUAUGGAGGAACACCGGUGGCGAAAGCGGCUCUCUGGCUUGUAACUGACGCUGAGGCUCGAAAGCGUGGGGAGCAAACCAGGAUUAGAUACCCUGGUAGUCCACGCCGUAAACG